This 508-nucleotide ribosomal RNA is filed under the name uncultured bacterium. RNAcentral's name for it is "bacterial SSU rRNA". It matches the Rfam family "Bacterial small subunit ribosomal RNA", at positions 501 to 1010 of the family's 1533-position model. The record is from RNAcentral.
CUACGUGCCAGCAGCCGCGGUAAUACGGGGGGUGCGAGCGUUAAUCGGAAUAACUGGGCGUAAAGGGCACGUAGGCGGACCUUUAAGUGAGGUGUGAAAUCCCCGGGCUUAACCUGGGAAUUGCAUUUCAUACUGGGGGUCUGGAGUACUUUAGGGAGGGGUAGAAUUCCACGUGUAGCGGUGAAAUGCGUAGAGAUGUGGAGGAAUACCGAAGGCGAAGGCAGCCCCUUGGGGAUGUACUGACGCUGAUGUGCGAAAGCGUGGGGAGCAAACAGGAUUAGAUACCCUGGUAGUCCACGCUGUAAACGGUGUCGAUUUGGGGAUUGGGGUUUAGCCCUGGUGCCCGAAGCUAACGUGAUAAAUCGACCGCCUGGGGAGUACGGCCGCAAGGUUAAAACUCAAAUGAAUUGACGGGGGCCCGCACAAGCGGUGGAGCAUGUGGUUUAAUUCGAUGCAACGCGAAGAACCUUACCUACUCUUGACAUCCGAAGAAGAACUCAGAGAUGGG